AGAGUUUGAUCAUGGCUCAGGAUGAACGCUAGCUACAGGCUUAACACAUGCAAGUCGAGGGGAAACGACAUCGAAAGCUUGCUUUUGAUGGGCGUCGACCGGCGCACGGGUGAGUAACGCGUAUCCAACCUGCCCACCACUCGGGGAUAACCUUGCGAAAGUAAGACUAAUACCCAAUGACGUCUCUAGAAGACAUCUGAAAGAGAUUAAAGAUUUAUCGGUGAUGGAUGGGGAUGCGUCUGAUUAGCUUGUUGGCGGGUAACGACCGCCAAGGCUACGAUCAGUAGGGGUUCUGAGAGGAAGGUCCCCCANAUUGGAACUGAGACACGGUCCAAACUCCUACGGGAGCA
RNAcentral lists this ribosomal RNA (350 nucleotides) under uncultured bacterium. RNAcentral's name for it is "bacterial SSU rRNA". It matches the Rfam family "Bacterial small subunit ribosomal RNA", at positions 8 to 349 of the family's 1533-position model. The record is from RNAcentral.